GUUUGUCCAUCUUUGUAUGGAUAUUUUUCUCAAUAUACACUGUACAAAUUAACUAUCUUUGUAUUGGGAUGGGGACUGUGUUGAGGAAUAUAGAGGUGAGGCAUUAUUUUUAGUUCACAAAAAAGCAUCUGGUUUUUUUUAUCCACAUAUUGUAGAGGCUCUUGUUGUCUUUUAUAGAAUGGGGUAGUAUUGGACGGUGGAUUUCAUCACAUAGUUGGGCAAUCAAAUUGCCUUUUUCUCAUUGAAGCUCUCCACGGCAAAUCUAGAUGUCUGGUUCCUUUCUAACUGGUUGUUGAUGACAUUUUGAAGCGAAGUUCCCUGUUCUCAACUUUCUCAUUCUGCUUUUGCUAAGGGUAACUGUUAUGUGGUUGCCCAUUCAUUAGCCCAAUUAGCUAUUGAUAUUGAUGUGGAGUUUGUUCUUAUGGAAGACAUUCCUCGUUGUAUCCAAGCUUUUGUUAGAAGUGAUAUUGUCACUUAUGUUUUAAUGAAAUUUAAUUUCCUCUAAAAAACUGUUAAGGCAUUUUUAAUUAGUUUGUUUAAGGAGAUGAAGAGAAUGACAGUUUUAAUUUUUCAAUAUGGAAAAAAAAUGUUUUAAGUAAGACAACAACAUUGACAAAAAACUGUUGUUAGUUUUCUGAAAAUAAAAAACAAAAGCCAGCAAUGUUAUCAAACACGACCUAAAUUUCUAUAUUUUCAUAAACUUGUCAAUCAAUCAUACAUUUAGGGCAAAGAUGUGAUGAAUUGAAAACUUAAAAUCUGAAGUUGAGAAAUUAUCAUUAGGAUGCCGACUGCUUAAGGUCAUGAAAUCCUUAAUUACUAGAUGUUCAUAUAACCUGAACAAGGACGGGAAAUGACAGUUUUAAUCUUUCUAAUUAUCAACUUAAUUUCUUCCUCACAGUGAUAACAAAGAAUAAAUACCUUUUAGUUGGAAUAUUGUUGCA
This 941-nucleotide unclassified non-coding RNA is filed under the name Hevea brasiliensis (rubber tree). The record is from RNAcentral. Lineage: Eukaryota; Viridiplantae; Streptophyta; Magnoliopsida; Malpighiales; Euphorbiaceae.